Molecule: long non-coding RNA, 397 nt
Organism: Lemur catta (Ring-tailed lemur)
Lineage: Eukaryota; Metazoa; Chordata; Mammalia; Primates; Lemuridae
Exons: 3
Source: RefSeq, a predicted model, not a curated record
AUGCAGCCACCAGACCUCCCAGAGCAAUUCUACGAGGUGGAGCCACCUUCAGCAAUCCCUGGAGGCUGUCCCUUCAUCCCCAGGAGGCCACCACCCAAACCUGCGAUGCAUCCGUUGGUCCCUACUAUAACAAAAGGAAACAAGGAGUCAAACUAUGAGGUGCUCAUGGAUCCAGAGCCCAACAUUUACUGCAUAAUCUACCCCUAAGUCUAGGGGAAGCAGAGAUCCUUUCUCUGGAAGUCCUAGAGAAACCGUGGUCAAUUCGAUGACAUUUACUGUGUGCAUGUUAUAAUCUAAUCAUUCUCUGUCACCUUUGUUGAUUUAGUGAUGUUCUAGUUCAAUGGGUUGGUCAGGCUCUGGACCUUAGCUCCCACCAAAUCUUAGGCUUUUGAGUCAU